This 737-nucleotide long non-coding RNA is filed under the name Neogobius melanostomus (round goby). RNAcentral's name for it is "lncRNA (ENSNMLG00000018069.1)". Lineage: Eukaryota; Metazoa; Chordata; Actinopteri; Gobiiformes; Gobiidae. The record is from RNAcentral.
AUGCGAUAGUGUGAAGCAGCUAAUGUGUCUUCUUUCUGUUUCUCUUUGCAGACCGCACUGCCUUAGACGCCUCCUGUCCUGAAGUUACACACAAGAAGCUGGAUUAGCAGGUCCGUUUGUCCCAGGUUUGAGCUGAGUCCAGUUCGUCCUCAGUGCAGACCGCUCUUCAGACAGGUGAGUCGUCCCAGCCCCCGUCGUCCCUCGGAGCAGGCAUGGCAGACGGUCAGGAGCACUGGACAUCCAAUGGCCAGGAGAACGGCGAGAAUGGGUACUCCUCCUACAGCUCUGGCUACCGGGAGAACGGGUACCACGCUGGGGCCGUGGCGGGGAGCACAGAGGUUCUGAGCCCUUUCUCUGGGGAACAGCCUGUGGAAGUAGCCCCGGUAGAGACCCACCACCACCACAAACAUGAAGACCUGCCCCAUGACCGGGCAGGGCCAGGGGGGCACACACAGGCUAUGAACGGAACAAGUCGUCCAGGUGAACAUAGGCCGGCAGAGACAGGUGUGUGGGAGUGGAAUGAGGGCUUUCUGGCGAGUGAAUGAGCAGAGGUGGGCGAUGUAAUCAUAUCAGAUUGAACUAUAAUUGCAUUCAAAUGACAAGUCAGGAUUCAGUUAGCAGUGCACAUGUCCAGAAGCACUAACACUUGAGAGAAGACUAAAAAUAUGAACUAGAGUUUCCCGUUUCCUACAUUAGAUAAUAAUCCUAUUUACAUAUUGACUCAGUACAGAACGUUG